UCUAAGUGGGUGGUGAACUCCAUCUAACGCUAAAUAUGACCACGAGACCGAUAGCGAACAAGUACCGUGAGGGAAAGUUGAAAAGAACUUUGAAAAGAGAGUUCAAGAGUACGUGAAACCGUUCAGAGGUGAACCUGAGAAACUCGAAAGAUCAAACGGGGAGUUCCAUCGUGAGCGACGCAGGCUUAGCUGCGGCUCGUGAUGUCGGGUCCUCGCGUCCACGGCAGUCGGUCGCGGUGCAAUGUCUGGCGGUGCCGGCGCGCACUUCUUCCUCAGUAGGAUGUCGCGACCCGUUGGGCGUCGGUCUCAGGCCCGGUCGGCUGCCUGUCUCGGCAUUCUCGUCGGGGCAGACCCGGGGUUGCCCGUCCGGCUGCCCGGCGAUACCCGUACGGUAUAGCGUCGCAUUGAGCUGCGUCGGGCCCGCCGCAACCGUGGUCAGCGAUUCCCGGUGGUCAGACCUAGCGCCGUCUACGAGCCUGGCCAGCUGUUGGCUGGCGGUGUCCUCUGGCCGGCUCGUUCGAAUUAUCUAAUACCGGUCGGCGACGGUAUAGCUUUGGGUACUUUCAGGACCCGUCUUGAAACCUGGACCAAGGAGUCCAACGUGUGCGCGAGUUAUUGGGACGAGCAAACCUGAAGGCCUAAUGAAAGUGAAGGUCAGUCGAGCGCUGACCGAGGGAGGAUGGGCCGCGUCAAGAUGCGGCCCUGCACUCCCGCGGCAUCUUGUUCUCACUGCGAGAAGAGGCAAACCCAGAGCGUACACGUUGAGACGCGAAAUAUGGUGAACUAUGCCUGGACAGGACGGAGUCAGGGGAAACCCCGAUAGAGGUCCGUAGCGAUUCUGACGUGCAAAUUGAUCGCCGGAAGUAGGUAUAGGCGCUAACGACUAAUCGAACCAUCUAGUGGGUGGUUCCUUCUGAAGUUUCCCUGAGGAUAGCUGGCACUCGCGUACAAAACAUUCACGAAUCUCAUCCGGUAACGCGAAUGAUUAGAGGCCUUAGGGCCAAAAUGACCUCAACCUAUUCUCAAACUUCGAAUGGUUAAGAUCACUGGUUUGCUUGAACUAUGAAGCCACAAGAUCUCGGAUCAGAGUGCCGAGUGGGCUACUUUCGGUGAGUAGAGCUGGCGCUGUGGGAUGAACCAAACGCCCAGUUAAGGCGCCAAGGUCGAUGCUUAUGGGAUACCAUAAAGGGCGUUGGUUGCCUAAGACAGCAGGACGGUGGCCAUGGAAGUCAGAAUCCGCUAAAGAGUGUGUAACAACUCACUCGCCGGAGCAACUAGCCCUGAAAAUGAAUGGCCCUGAAGCGUUGCGCCUAUACUCGGCUAAUAGCGGCAUACGAGGUGGCCUAGGCCGCGCCAUUGGCCGUGAUGAAGCCCUGACGAGUAUGAGGUCGCGGCGGUGUGCGCAGAAGGGACUGGACAUGAGCCUGCCUAAAGCUGUCGUCGGUGCAGAUCUUAGUGGUAGUAGCAAAUACUCCAGCGAGGCCCUG
Molecule: long non-coding RNA, 1487 nt
Organism: Neodiprion virginianus
Lineage: Eukaryota; Metazoa; Arthropoda; Insecta; Hymenoptera; Diprionidae
Exons: 3
Source: RefSeq, a predicted model, not a curated record